Molecule: non-coding RNA, 95 nt
Filed under: Microcebus murinus (gray mouse lemur)
Lineage: Eukaryota; Metazoa; Chordata; Mammalia; Primates; Cheirogaleidae
Source: RNAcentral
GGCUGGUACAAUGGUAGGGAGUCAUCAGAAUUUGUUAACAUUAGUGUCAAUAAAGUUGGUAUACAACCCUCCACUGCUAAAUUUGACUGGCUUAC